RNAcentral lists this microRNA (21 nucleotides) under Tribolium castaneum (red flour beetle). RNAcentral describes it as "tca-miR-989-5p". Its record names the gene tca-miR-989-5p. Lineage: Eukaryota; Metazoa; Arthropoda; Insecta; Coleoptera; Tenebrionidae. The record is from miRBase by way of RNAcentral.
CGCCACUAGGUCGCAUAACAC